Molecule: RNase P RNA, 347 nt
Filed under: Clostridia bacterium
Lineage: Bacteria; Bacillati; Bacillota; Clostridia
Description: RNase P RNA component class A
Rfam family: Bacterial RNase P class A
About the family: Ribonuclease P (RNase P) is a ubiquitous endoribonuclease, found in archaea, bacteria and eukarya as well as chloroplasts and mitochondria. Its best characterised activity is the generation of mature 5'-ends of tRNAs by cleaving the 5'-leader elements of precursor-tRNAs. Cellular RNase Ps are ribonucleoproteins.
Source: RNAcentral
UUGGCAGAUUGGACGGUCGCGGGCACAAGGAGCAAUCCUGUGCGUGAGGAAAGUCCGAGCUCCGCAGGGCAGGGUGCAAGGUAACCCCUUGUGAAGGCAACUUCAAGGAAAGUGCAACAGAAAUAUACCGCCAAAGCUUUUUGGUAAGGGUGAAAUGGUGAGGUAAGAGCUCACCCACAGUCUGGCGACUGGCUUGUGAUGUAAACCCCACUCGGAGCAACACCUGAUUAGGAGGCAAAGCUUGCCCGGCAUCUCCGUGGAAGGUGGCUAGAGCCUUGCAGUGAUGCAAGGUUUAGAUAGAUGAUCGUCUUAAAUGACAGAACUCGGCUUACAGAUCUGCCAUAUUU